Non-coding RNA from Cinara cedri, 444 nucleotides. The record is from the annotation of a GenBank genome assembly. NCBI's taxonomy places the organism in Eukaryota, Metazoa, Arthropoda, Insecta, Hemiptera, Aphididae.
AAAAAAGUGAUACUUCUAAGCCGAAUUUCGAACAUCGGUCAAUUCCAAACGAAAGAGCAUACUUUUUUUUUUAUAAUGGCAUAUUCUUUAGAGAUUUUUUCUAAAUAGUUAAAAUUUUAUGAAGAAUAUAGACAAAAUUUUAGUAUCGUUCGUUAUCGAAUUUUCACGGUUUUUGCAAAACUAAAUUGAAAAAAAAUGAUACUUCUAAGCCGAAUUUCGAACAUCGGUCAAUUCCAAACGAAAGAGCAUACUUUUUUCUAUAUAAUGGCAUAUUCUUUAGAGAUUUUUUCUAAAUAGUUAAAAUUUUAUGAGGAAUAUAGACAAAAUUUUAGUAUCGUUCGUUAGCGAAUUUUUACGGUUUUUUCAAUACUAAAUUGUAAAAAAAAUGAUACUUCUAAGCCGAAUUUCGAACAUCGGUCAAUUCCAAACGAAAGAGCAUACUUU